RNAcentral lists this ribosomal RNA (272 nucleotides) under uncultured bacterium KC116. RNAcentral's name for it is "partial 16S rRNA". It matches the Rfam family "Bacterial small subunit ribosomal RNA", at positions 215 to 505 of the family's 1533-position model. Lineage: Bacteria; Pseudomonadati; Pseudomonadota; Alphaproteobacteria. The record is from RNAcentral.
ACGCCGAAAGAUGAGCCCGCACUUGAUUAGUUUGUUGGUGAGGUAAUGGCUCACCAAGACAAUUAUCAAUAGCUGGUCUGAGAGGACGAUCAGCCACAUUGGGACUGAGACACGGCCCAGACUCCUACGGGAGGCAGCAGUAAGGAAUCUUGCACAAUGGGGGAAACCCUGAUGCAGCGAUGCCGCGUGAGUGAAGAAGGCCCUUGGGUUGUAAAACUCUUUCGUCGGGGAAGAAAAUGACUGUACCCGAAUAAGAAGUCCGGCUAACUUCG